AUGGCAAGAGAGAAUUCGAGGACCCCCAGGUCAGCUUUGAGUUUGGGCUGUAAACAGUCUCAGCUCUCAGGAAAAGGUGAGGAGCAUCCCAAAGAAAAUCAGAUCAACUUGAUUGUUUUCCUGUCCCCAGAUGCAUGUGUUCUGUUCAUUUGUGCUCAGGGCUACUUUGUUUCCUCCUGGACAAUGUGGGGCCCCUGCUUUCCUAGUAUAAGUGGCAUUUCUAUUCCUUUAAUGUUCCUCUGCAGCCCCACAAAGAAACCAGAAAAUAAAGCUGUCAACAACAAACUCUCUUCCAGCAAGAUGGAAGUGCAUAAACCUCAGAGAUGUUCGAAGGCCUUUCUUCUUUUCUUGCUGGGAAAAGCUCUCCUCUCACCAGGAAGGUUGUGGAUGGUGCCAAUCGGGAGUGAUGAUCAUCACAGAUGGGCAGGCCUUGAACCUCCACAUCUGGAGGUCAAACUGGACCAAAGGUCGAGGAGCCAGGAGGCACACAGGCUCCCAAAUGAGCUUGGACAUGAGCACCAGGCCCUAGAAAUUUCUAGACAAUCACUAGAAGGUAGGGGCCAGAAGAGUCAUACAAAUGGAUUAUCAGAGGGAUCCCUGGGUGGCGCAGCGGUUUGGCGCCUGCCUUUGGCCCAGGGCGCGAUCCUGGAGACCCGGGAUCAAAUCCCACAUCAGGGGAUCCCUGGGUGGCGCAGCGGUUUGGCGCCUGCCUUUGGCCCAGGGCGCGAUCCUGGAGACCCGGGAUCGAAUCCCACAUGGGGCUCCCGGUGCAUGGAGCCUGCUUCUCCCUCUGCCUGUGUCUCUGCGCCUCUCUCUCUCUCUGUGACUAUCAUAAAUAAAUAAAAAUUAAAAAAAAAAUUUACAAAUCCCACAUCAGGCUCCUGGUGCAUGGAGCCUGCUUCUCCCUCUGCCUAUGUCUCUGCCUCUCUCUCUCUCUGUGACUAUCAUAAAUAAAUAAAUAAAAAUUAAAAAAAUUAAAAAAAAA
RNAcentral lists this long non-coding RNA (985 nucleotides) under Canis lupus dingo (dingo). RNAcentral's name for it is "lncRNA (ENSCAFG00020011428.1)". Lineage: Eukaryota; Metazoa; Chordata; Mammalia; Carnivora; Canidae. The record is from RNAcentral.